Molecule: ribosomal RNA, 412 nt
Filed under: uncultured bacterium
Lineage: Bacteria
Description: bacterial SSU rRNA
Rfam family: Bacterial small subunit ribosomal RNA
Source: RNAcentral
AGUGGCGAACGGGUUAGUAACGCGUGGGAACAUACACAGCACAGGGGGAUAACCAUUGGAAACGAUGGCUAAUACCGCAUACGCCCUAAUGGGGAAAGAUUUAUCGGUGUUGGAUUGGCCCGCGUUAGAUUAGCUAGUUGGUGGGGUAAUGGCUCACCAAGGCGACGAUUUAUAGCUGGUUUGAGAGGAUGAUCAGCAACACUGGAACUGAGACACGGUCCAGACUCCUACGGGAGGCAGCAGUCGGGAAUAUUGUGCAAUGGGGGCAACCCUGACACAGCCAUGCCGCGUGAGUGAAGAAGGCCUUAGGGUUGUAAAGCUCUUUCAGAUGUGAGGAUGAUGACGAUAGCAUCAGAAGAAGCUCCGGCUAACUUCGUGCCAGCAGCCGCGGUAAUACGAAGGGAGCUAGCGU